CACUCAGAUUUUCCACGAUUGUUUGGUUCGGAAACUUAUUGACGGUCCCUAGUGAACCACCGGGCGUCAGAAGAGGGAGCAACAGAGAGCAGCUAGCCGAAAUCUGGGUGCCUGACUCGGAUCGACCGUGGGCUGGAUGCCGCUGACUCCGCGGAGAUUGAGUGUCCGGCUUCGGGCUGGCUUCACUGCGGCCGCCGGUAGUUGGUGUCCCAGAGGCUGAUUCGUCUCCCAACGCGGGACAGCAGAUCUUCCAACUGGGUCCUGGAUAGACGAAAGUACUGCUGAAAUCGACCGUCAUCCAGACACAGCUCCUGGAGUUGGUGGUGGUAAUCUCCUAACUGUUCCCGUCCCUGAAGAAUCUGGUGAACCCAGGGAUGUUGACGUCGGCGGCGUUUUUCGGCUCUCCACAGGUUUUGCUUGAGGCUUUGUUUACUUUGCAAAGUCCUUACUUCGUUCCGGAGAUCCUCUGAACAAUCUGGAUAAUCAUCUAUUGAGUAUUGGAUCAACCUUAUAGUGGAUUUCUCUGCCUACCACCUGUAUCUUUUGGACACGGAUCAAGCUGGCGGCUUCUCGCUUCCUCCACCCCCAGGACCAAGGCAUAAGCGUACCCUGUUCCUCCCGCCUUCGCAAACAUCGGCAUCUGUGCUUCAUCUGGUUUGCACCAAACCAGCAGCUGAGGAGACAACUGAGCAACCUCACUUCGCAAGCUAAGACUCUGAAUCUCUCUACCCCUGGUGGUUCAAGCAACAGCAAUUUAAACAGCAGCGUCAGACAAACCAACAGUUAGAGCAGAUUACCGCCAUGCUACAACAGACCCUUAAUACCCAACCCCCCACGCAGGUAAAUGGCACUGCUGCAUCUCCAGUAACUUCACAGCUUCUUCACUCUCGUGACGUCAUUUCCCCUAACCCAGAAAAAUUCUCUGGAGAGACCUGGACCCAAGAACACUAAACCUGAUGCCCUUUCCAGACAGUUUGCUGUUGACGACUCAGUAAAGGAGCCAGCUUCCAUUCUACCGCCCAGUUGGACGGUUGGGGCACUCAGGUGGGAGAUGGAAGACAUUAUCCUCAGAGCUCAACAACAGGAUCCCAACCCAGAAACAGUACCACCCAAUCGCACAUCUGUCCCGCUUAAGGACCUUAUGAGAUUGAGGCCGUGAUCAGUCCCUCUGCGGCAACAGCAAUUUAUUGGCAUCUCCAGUUCUCUUUCCUGAAUACUUUACUGACAAUAAAAACACGUUAAACUUUG
This is a long non-coding RNA of Girardinichthys multiradiatus, 1248 nucleotides long. RefSeq lists it as uncharacterized. Lineage: Eukaryota; Metazoa; Chordata; Actinopteri; Cyprinodontiformes; Goodeidae. The record is from RefSeq and is a predicted model, not a curated record. The transcript is spliced from 6 exons.